GAUGAACGCUGGCGGCGUGCCUAAUACAUGCAAGUCGAGCGAACGGACGAGAAGCUUGCUUCUCUGAUGUUAGCGGCGGACGGGUGAGUAACACGUGGAUAACCUACCUAUAAGACUGGGAUAACUUCGGGAAACCGGAGCUAAUACCGUAUAAUAUUUUGAACCGCAUGGUUCAAAAGUAAAAGACGGUCUUGCUGUCACUUAUAGAUGGAUCCGCGCUGCAUUAGCUAGUUGGUAAGGUAACGGCUUACCAAGGCAACGAUGCAUAGCCGACCUGAGAGGGUGAUCGGCCACACUGGAACUGAGACACGGUCCAGACUCCUACGGGAGGCAGCAGUAGGGAAUCUUCCGCAAAGGGCGAAAGCCUGACGGAGCAACGCCGCGUGAGUGAUGAAGGUCUUCGGAUCGUAAAACUCUGUUAUUAGGGAAGAACAUAUGUGUAAGUAACUGUGCACAUCUUGACGGUACCUAAUCAGAAAGCCACGGCUAACUACGUG
Molecule: ribosomal RNA, 497 nt
Filed under: uncultured bacterium
Lineage: Bacteria
Description: partial 16S ribosomal RNA
Rfam family: Bacterial small subunit ribosomal RNA
Source: RNAcentral